Small nuclear RNA from Malus domestica (apple), 196 nucleotides. RefSeq annotates it as U2 spliceosomal RNA. The record is from RefSeq and is a predicted model, not a curated record. NCBI's taxonomy places the organism in Eukaryota, Viridiplantae, Streptophyta, Magnoliopsida, Rosales, Rosaceae.
AUACCUUUCUCGGCCUUUUGGCUAAGAUCAAGUGUAGUAUCUGUUCUUAUCAGUUUAAUAUCUGAUACGUGGACCAAUGGUUCACACGAUAUUAAAUUAAUUUUUUAAGGGGAAGGGUUCAUUACAAUAGCUUGCUAUUGGAGCUCUUGCGUGUCGCCUAAGCGUUGCACUAUUUCUUGGGCCUGGCACACCCCAC